CCCUUAGAUGUUCUGGACCGCACGCGCGCUACACUGAUGCAUUCAACGAGUUCCUACCUUGGCCGAGAGGCCUGGGCAAUCUUUUGAACUUGCAUCGUGAUAGGGAUAGAUUAUUGCAAUUAUUAAUCUUGAACGAGGAAUUCCUAGUAAACGCAGAUCAUCAAUCUGCAUUGAUUACGUCCCUGCCCUUUGUACACACCGCCCGUCGCACCUACCGAUUGAAUGGUCCGGUGAAGCCUCGGGAUUGUGGUUAGUUUCCUUCAUUGGAAGUUAGCCGCGAGAACUUGUCUAAACCUUAUCAUUUAGAGGAAGGUGAAGUCGUAACA
RNAcentral lists this ribosomal RNA (326 nucleotides) under uncultured eukaryote. RNAcentral describes it as "partial 18S ribosomal RNA". It matches the Rfam family "Eukaryotic small subunit ribosomal RNA", at positions 1470 to 1796 of the family's 1831-position model. The record is from RNAcentral.